CACAAGCGGUGGAGUAUGUGGUUUAAUUCGACGCAACGCGCAGAACCUUACCUAGACUUGACAUCCCGGGGAUUUUCUGGAAACAGAGAAGUGCUUUAGCAAUAAAGAACCCGGUGACAGGUGCUGCAUGGCUGUCGUCAGCUCGUGUCGUGAGAUGUUGGGUUAAGUCCCGCAACGAGCGCAACCCUUAUCAUUAGUUGCUACGCAAGGGCACUCUAAUGAGACUGCCGGUGACAAACCGGAGGAAGUGGGGAUGACGUCAAAUCAUCAUGCCCCUUAUGACCUGGGCUACACACGUGCUACAAUGGUUGGUACAACGAGUUGCGAGUCGGUGACGGCGAGCUAAUCUCUUAAAGCCAAUCUCAGUUCGGAUUGUAGGCUGCAACUCGCCUACAUGAAGUCGGAAUCGCUAGUAAUCGCGGAUCAGCACGCCGCGGUGAAUACGUUCCCGGGCCUU
RNAcentral lists this ribosomal RNA (457 nucleotides) under uncultured Smithella sp. RNAcentral's name for it is "bacterial SSU rRNA". It matches the Rfam family "Bacterial small subunit ribosomal RNA", at positions 924 to 1382 of the family's 1533-position model. The record is from RNAcentral. Lineage: Bacteria; Pseudomonadati; Thermodesulfobacteriota; Syntrophia; Syntrophales; Smithellaceae.